Amphiprion ocellaris (clown anemonefish) is the source of this 458-nucleotide long non-coding RNA. RefSeq lists it as uncharacterized. The transcript has 2 exons. Lineage: Eukaryota; Metazoa; Chordata; Actinopteri; Pomacentridae. The record is from RefSeq and is a predicted model, not a curated record.
GAACGCUGUCAGGCUGAAUUCUGUCUCCGUCUUGGUGUUCAAAGCGUCUGGAGGAGCUGGCAGCACUGCAGCCACCAGCAGAUGUCUGCCAGAAUAAAUUGGCUGCACAAACUUUCUGCGGCACCUGUUCAGUCCGUCAUUAGAAACAGUGACAGACUCCCAGAAACAGGAGGAUUUAGAGCCGGGUAUGGAUUCAGGUGUACUGCUGUUACUCCGUGGACGACGGAGCAUCAUUCAGGGACGUCCCGGAGGCUGUGUCGGUUACCAGGCAACCAGGAAGGGAUGCUGAGGACGAUGACACCAGCGAGAGGUUAUGGGAUGUGAACGUUACUCAUGGAGCUACAGGCCGAUGUUCUCUGACUGCGUCAGAUAUCUUCCUGGUGUCAUUCAACCAGCUGACCCAGAGGCUGUGAUGAGACCAAUCCUCAAAUAUGAAUAAAUAAAUGAUUUAACACUGA